GUCUAAUAGAGUAAAAUAAAACUUUUCGAAUAUAUGCACAAAAUAUAUAAAAACAAGAACCUUUUUACAGGUUCUACUCGCCUGGCAGUGAUGUUGACUUUUCAUUCUCUUUGAAAAAUAUCAAGGCAAAAUUUAAUGAGAUUCACUAACUCAAUAAGUAUUUUCGUUCUUUCAACCCAGGUAAAAUUUCAUGCAAACACACGGUAAGAAACAAAAGUAAUAAAAAUGUUUCAGUACAAAUUCAUGUUCUUAUUUUCACUAUUUCACAUAUUCCUGAUCGAUCUGAUGAAUUCUCUCGAAUAUCAUAUACAAACCUCAAAUGUCUAUUCUCAUACUCUCGAAAGUCAUAAAUGCACUCGAAUAUCAAUCAUCAUUUUGAAAUAUAAUCGAACACAAAAAAGAUCACAGAUACACUAGAAUAUCAUUCAUAAUCUCGAAACAUAAUCACACACACACAAAAGAUAACAAAUACACUAAAAUGGUCAUUUUUUGGUUUCAUCGCA
This 503-nucleotide long non-coding RNA is filed under the name Carica papaya (papaya). RNAcentral describes it as "long non-coding RNA (CPAP_LNC015472)". The record is from RNAcentral. Lineage: Eukaryota; Viridiplantae; Streptophyta; Magnoliopsida; Brassicales; Caricaceae.